RNAcentral lists this ribosomal RNA (487 nucleotides) under Aeromonas sp. 01WB03.1-59. Its description in RNAcentral is "bacterial SSU rRNA". It matches the Rfam family "Bacterial small subunit ribosomal RNA", at positions 1 to 481 of the family's 1533-position model. Lineage: Bacteria; Pseudomonadati; Pseudomonadota; Gammaproteobacteria; Aeromonadales; Aeromonadaceae. The record is from RNAcentral.
UAGAGUUUGAUCAUGGCUCAGAUUGAACGCUGGCGGCAGGCCUAACACAUGCAAGUCGAGCGGCAGCGGGAAAGUAGCUUGCUACUUUUGCCGGCGAGCGGCGGACGGGUGAGUAAUGCCUGGGGAUCUGCCCAGUCGAGGGGGAUAACAGUUGGAAACGACUGCUAAUACCGCAUACGCCCUACGGGGGAAAGGAGGGGACCUUCGGGCCUUUCGCGAUUGGAUGAACCCAGGUGGGAUUAGCUAGUUGGUGGGGUAAUGGCUCACCAAGGCGACGAUCCCUAGCUGGUCUGAGAGGAUGAUCAGCCACACUGGAACUGAGACACGGUCCAGACUCCUACGGGAGGCAGCAGUGGGGAAUAUUGCACAAUGGGGGAAACCCUGAUGCAGCCAUGCCGCGUGUGUGAAGAAGGCCUUCGGGUUGUAAAGCACUUUCAGCGAGGAGGAAAGGUUGAUGCCUAAUAACGCAUCAGCUGUGACGUACUCG